CCGGGCGACCGGCGCACGGGUGAGUAACACGUAUGGAACCUGCCCGCAGCAGGGGGAUAAGCGGAAGAAAUUCCGUCUAAUACCGCGUAACAACGUUGGGAGGCAUCUCCCGAUGUUUAAAGAUUUAUCGGCUGCGGAUGGCCAUGCGGCGCAUUAGCUAGUCGGCGGGGUAACGGCCCACCGAGGCGACGAUGCGUAGGGGUUCUGAGAGGAAGGUCCCCCACACUGGUACUGAGACACGGACCAGACUCCUACGGGAGGCAGCAG
Molecule: ribosomal RNA, 267 nt
Filed under: uncultured bacterium
Lineage: Bacteria
Description: partial 16S ribosomal RNA
Rfam family: Bacterial small subunit ribosomal RNA
Source: RNAcentral